GACGCUGCUGUCAGCCGGCGGUGGGGGGGGUCGGUGUGGGGUAGAAUGGCCGCUGCCGCCGUCACCCGCGGGACCCCGGGAGCACAGACUCCCCCUCCCCCCGGCCCCUCAGGCCGGGGGUGACCUUGCCCCCUGGAUCCCUCACCAUGAAUAGCAAGGAUACCACCGAGGUUGCUGAGAACAACCACCACCUGAAGAUCUUUCUCCCCAAGAAGCUGCUGGAGUGUCUUCCUCGCUGCCCACUGUUGCCUCCAGAGCGGCUACGGUGGAAUACAAAUGAGGAGAUUGCAUCCUACUUGAUCACCUUUGAGAAGCAUGAUGAGUGGCUAUCCUGUGCCCCAAAGACAAGGCCUCAGAAUGGUUCCAUCAUUCUCUAUAACCGCAAGAAAGUGAAAUACCGAAAGGAUGGUUACCUCUGGAAGAAGCGGAAGGAUGGGAAGACUACCCGAGAGGACCACAUGAAGCUGAAGGUCCAGGGCAUGGAGUGUCUCUAUGGCUGCUACGUUCACUCUUCCAUCGUCCCCACAUUCCAUCGGCGCUGCUACUGGCUGCUCCAGAACCCUGACAUCGUCCUUGUGCACUACCUGAACGUCCCAGCCCUGGAGGAUUGUGGAAAGGGUUGCAGCCCCAUCUUUUGUUCCAUCAGCAGCGACCGUCGAGAAUGGCUGAAGUGGUCCCGGGAUGAGCUAUUGGGACAGCUGAAGCCCAUGUUUCAUGGCAUCAAGUGGAGCUGUGGGAAUGGGACAGAGGAAUUCUCUGUAGAACAGCUGGUGCAGCAGAUCUUGGACACUCACCCAACCAAACCUGCACCUCGAACCCAUGCCUGUCUCUGCAGUGGGGGUCUUGGUUCUGGGAGCCUUACACACAAAUGCAGCAGCACGAAACACCGCAUCAUCUCUCCCAAAGUGGAGCCCCGAGCUUUAACCCUGACCUCUGUCCCCCACACUCAUCCCCCUGAGCCUCCUCCACUUAUAGCUCCACUUCCUCCAGAGCUCCCCAAGGCACAUACCUCUCCAUCCUCUUCUUCCUCUUCCUCCUCCUCAUCAGGUUUUGCAGAACCCCUAGAAAUCAGACCUAGCCCUCCUACCUCUCGAGGGGGUUCGUCGAGAGGAGGCACUGCUAUCCUCCUCCUCACGGGACUGGAGCAGCGUGCUGGAGGAUUGACACCCACCAGACAGUUGGCUCCUCAGGCUGAUCCUAGACCUAACAUGAGCUUGGCUGUAGUUGUAGGCUCUGAGCCCUCUGCCCCACCUGCUCCUCCUAGUCCUGCCUUUGACCCUGAUCGUUUUCUCAACAGCCCCCAGAGGGGCCAGACCUAUGGAGGAGGGCAGGGAGUAAGCCCAGACUUCCCUGAGGCAGAGGCUGCCCAUACCCCCUGUCCUGCCCUAGAGCCUGCUGCUGCCCUAGAGCCCCAGGCAGCUGCUCGGGGUCCCCCUUCACAAUCAGGAGCAGGUGGGAGAAGAGGAAACUGCUUUUUCAUCCAAGAUGAUGACAGUGGGGAGGAACUCAAGGGCCAGGGAACUGCCCCACCCAUACCUUCACCCCCUCCCUCACCCUCACACUCACCUGCCCCUUUGGAGCCAUCAGGCAGGGUAGGAAGAGGGGAGGCCUUGUUUGGAGGACCUGGUGGGGCCAGCGAACUGGAGCCCUUCAGUCUUUCAUCAUUCCCAGACCUUAUGGGAGAACUCAUCAGUGAUGAAGCUCCAAGCAUCCCGGCCCCAACCCCCCAGCUCUCACCUGCUCUUAGCACCAUCACAGAUUUCUCCCCAGAGUGGUCCUACCCAGAGGGUGGGGUCAAGGUGCUCAUCACAGGUCCUUGGACAGAGGCCGCUGAGCAUUACUCCUGUGUCUUUGAUCACAUCGCAGUACCAGCCUCACUUGUCCAGCCUGGUGUCUUACGCUGCUACUGUCCUGCCCAUGAGGUAGGGCUGGUGUCUUUGCAGGUGGCAGGGCGGGAGGGGCCCCUUUCUGCUUCUGUGCUCUUUGAGUAUCGAGCCCGCCGAUUCCUGUCUCUGCCUAGUACUCAGCUUGACUGGUUGUCACUGGACGACAACCAGUUCCGGAUGUCCAUACUGGAGCGACUGGAGCAGAUGGAGAAGAGGAUGGCAGAAAUUGCAGCAGCUGGCCGGGCACCUCGACAGGGUCCUGAUGCUCCUCCAAUUCAGGAUGAAGGCCAGGGCCCUGGGUUCGAGGCACGGGUAGUGGUCUUGGUAGAGAGCAUGAUCCCGCGCUCCACCUGGAGGGGUCCUGAGCGCCUGGCCCACGGAAGCCCCUUCCGAGGCAUGAGCCUUCUGCACCUGGCCGCUGCCCAGGGCUAUGCCCGCCUCAUCGAGACCCUGAGCCAGUGGCGGAGCGUGGAGACUGGAAGCUUGGACUUAGAGCAAGAGGUUGACCCACUCAACGUGGAUCACUUCUCUUGCACUCCUCUGAUGUGGGCUUGUGCCCUAGGACACCUGGAAGCUGCUGUGCUCCUUUUCCGCUGGAACCGACAGGCACUGAGUAUUCCAGAUUCUCUGGGCCGGCUACCCCUGUCUGUGGCUCAUUCCCGCGGUCAUGUGCGCCUUGCCCGCUGCCUUGAGGAACUACAGAGACAGGAAGCUUCACUUGAGCCCCCACUUGCCCUAUCGCCACCCUCCUCCAGCCCAGACACUGGUCUGAGCAGCGUCUCCUCACCCUCAGAGCUGUCGGAUGGCACUUUCUCUAUCACAUCAGCCUAUUCUAGUGCCCCGGAUGGCAGUCCUCCCCCUGCUCCUCUGCCUUUCUCUGAGAUUACUAUGGAGAUGGUCCCAGGCCAGCUCUCCUCUGGUGCCCCAGAGGCCCCUCUACUCUUCAUGGACUAUGAGGCCACCAACCCCAGUGGGCCCCCAGCCUCCCCUCCUGCCCUCCCACCAGCCCCAGAUGAUGAGGCUGCUCCAGAGGAUGCUGACAGCUCACAGGCUGUGGAUGUGAUCUCGGUGGACAUGAUCUCCCUGGCCAAACAGAUCAUCGAAGCCACACCAGAGCGGAUUAAACGAGAGGACUUUGUGGGGCUGCCUGAGGCCAGAACCUCAAUGCAGGAACGGACAGGGGCCGUGGGGCUCAACGAGACCAUGUCCUGGCUGGCCAGCUACUUGGAGAAUGUGGACCAUUUCCCCAGCUCCACCCCUCCCAGUGAAAUGCCUUUUGAGCGAAGUCGUCUGGCCAUUCCCCCAGCACCUUCCUGGGCAGAGUUUCUCUCUGCAUCUACCAGUGGCAAGAUGGAAAGUGAUUUUGCUCUGCUGACACUAUCAGAUCAUGAACAGCGGGAACUGUACGAGGCAGCCCGAGUCAUCCAGACAGCCUUCCGAAAGUACAAGGGUCGGCGGCUGAAGGAGCAACAGGAAGUAGCAGCAGCUGUAAUCCAGCGCUGUUAUCGGAAGUACAAGCAGUUUGCGCUCUAUAAGAAGAUGACCCAGGCAGCCAUCCUGAUUCAGAGCAAGUUCCGAAGCUACUAUGAGCAGAAGCGAUUUCAGCAGAGCCGUAGAGCAGCUGUGCUUAUUCAGCAGCACUACCGCUCCUACCGCCGCAGGCCUGGGCCUCCCCACCGGCCCUCUGGCACCCUGCCUGCCCGCAACAAAGGUUCCUUUCUCACCAAGAAGCAGGACCAGGCAGCUCGGAAGAUCAUGAGAUUCCUGCGGCGCUGCCGACACAGGAUGAGAGAAUUGAAGCAGAACCAGGAGCUAGAAGGGCUUCCCCAGCCAGGACUGGCCACCUGACCGCUCCACUGCCUUUCUCACCACCCUGGGGCGCUUCUUGCAGUCUUAACAGGGAAAAGGCUUUCUGGGGCAGGGGGAAGCCCUGUUUGGCAGCUUUCCUUUUCACCUUUGUUGGAGCCCUCAUAUGCCCCCACUUUCUUCCCCAUCCCUGCUCCCACACUUUGCUCCUCUUUCCUCCUGGUCGUUCCCCUCCCCUUUUGGUCCCUGGCCCCAGAGACCCAUGUCCCCCACACCUGCAUCUUCGGCCAUAAUCUACAGAGCCCUGCCUGCCCCUUCUCAGCUCCCUCCUGCCUGCACCCGAUCGGGCCCCUUCCUGACUUGCCUUAUUUAUUUGUUCGACGCGUCUCUGAAUGUAUCUGCCUCGGUCCUAAUCUCUGCCUUCGCUGCGCGCGCCCCUCCUGUUUCAGGGCUGACCGUGCCCCUACCCCGACUCCGCAUGUUUCCGUCCGUUUCCUCCCUUUCUGGCCCUGUCUUCCCCCAUCACCCCGACUCUGGCCACCAAACUCCGGGGCCAAAGGGGAGGGGUUGUACAUAAGAAAGCGUUGCGGAGUCCUGUCCCUGUCCCCCGAAAGGAGGGGGCCUGUACAUACUGUAACAUACAGAGUAUAGUGAAGAAUCUAUUUAAGGCCGCGGGGAGGGCUGCACGGCCGGGCUUGCGGUUCCCUGGCGCGGCGGGGGCCUCCAGCCGGCUCCACGAGCACUUUCUACUUGUGCAUGGGCUUGUUUAUACGAAUUGCCAUUAAACAUCGCUGCACCAGCCAGCCUCUGGCGUCUGUCUACCGGGGGCGGGGCGGGGCCUCUGCCAGCGGGAGGUGCCCACGCGCGGCGGACCUCGGAUCCACGCCCGGGCCGGGCGGGCAAGUAGUUUUCCGCCUCCGACGUGUUUCCGGCCUUAAAGGCAUUUCGCCCUUCCCUUUAAAACGCACCGCCCCCCUCUCAGUCACUCCCAAGAUGGCGGACCUACUGGGCUCCAUCCUGAGCUCCAUGGAGAAGCCACCCAGCCUCGGUGACCAGGAGACUCGGCGCAAGGCCCGAGAGCAGGCUGCCCGCCUGAAGAAACUACAGGAGCAAGAGAAACAACAGAAAGUGGAGUUUCGUAAAAGGAUGGAGAAGGAGGUGUCAGAUUUCAUCCAAGACAGUGGGCAGAUCAAGAAAAAAUUUCAGCCAAUGAACAAGAUAGAGAGGAGCAUACUACACGAUGUGGUGGAAGUGGCUGGCCUGACAUCUUUCUCUUUCGGGGAAGAUGAUGAAUGUCGCUAUGUCAUGAUCUUCAAAAAGGAGUUUGCACCCUCAGAUGAAGAGCUAGACUCUUACCGUAGAGGAGAGGAAUGGGACCCCCAGAAAGCUGAGGAGAAACGGAAACUGAAGGAGUUGGCACAGCGGCAGGAGGAGGAGGUGGCCCAAAAGGGACCUGUGGUGGUGAGCCCUGCCAGUGACUACAAAGACAAGUACAGCCACCUCAUUGGCAAGGGGGCAGCAAAGGAUGCAGCCCACAUGCUUCAGGCCAACAAAACCUACGGCUGUGUGCCUGUGGCCAACAAGAGGGACACACGCUCCAUUGAAGAGGCCAUGAAUGAGAUCCGAGCCAAGAAGCGUCUGCGGCAGAGUGCGGAAGAGUUGCCACCGACCUCCUAGGCACCUCACUCAGCUCCCUUUGACCCCUGGGGCAGGGCAGGGGGCAGGCAGGGACAAGGCUGCUGCUAUUAGAACCCAUUGUGGAGCCCCAUCUCUGAACCACUUCUGACCAGCUGUUGCUCAGGCUGGGGGGAAGCAGGUGUUUAUCACUGUUGGAGCUUAGAUAUGUAUGUGGUGUGUGUGUUGUGUGAGAGUGAGUAUGAAUGCACAGGUGGGUAUUUAAUCUGUAUUAUUCUCCAUUCUCCUUGGAAAUUUCCUUCCCCAUGGGGCUGGGGUUACUUUACAUUCAAUAAAUACUGUU
RNA transcript from Otolemur garnettii (small-eared galago), 5670 nucleotides. It is a transcript of the gene named calmodulin binding transcription activator 2, with no coding region annotated. The record is from RefSeq and is a predicted model, not a curated record. Lineage: Eukaryota; Metazoa; Chordata; Mammalia; Primates; Galagidae. The transcript is spliced from 28 exons.